ACUCUGCGCCGACCGGCUGGGCCUGGCACCCGCGGGCGGCCCCAGCCUCAGUCUCCAGCUACCUUUGCCUCCUGCGGCCGCCCCCAGGCAGAGCUGCGAUCCCACCGCCGGGGGUGCAGGGAGAGGGAAGAUCUGGCCUCCUUGGUCCUUUUGCGUGGGCUCUUCAGAGCGUGAGCGCCGGGGAGGGACUCCGGAGAAAAGCUUGGGGGGCUGCGUAUUGCUGCUCCCCAAGCUGGGCGUCAGGACCAACCCCGCCGCCCCCACGGGCCUGACGGGAGAGGAGGAAGGGCUCGGGACGGUCGGCUCGCCGAGCCAACCAGGUGGCGCCUGAAGAGCUGUCCAUGGUGUCGACAGCCCAGCAAACGGCACCGAGUUCCUAGUCUGAGUGUCUGGAUAGGUAGCAGAAGAAAAACUAAUGCCUGCUCUGGGACAGUUCUGUUCGGUGCCUUUUCUUGUGUGUUCUGGAGCUCACAGGGUUCUAUCGAAGAGUGCUUAGGUGUAUACGAUGGAGAGUGGGACGUCACAAACCAGGAUCUCAAGGCUGAGUCCAACAAAACAUGGCCGUAGGGAGGCCACGACAGCUGUGGUUGUCACCGACGGAUGAAUAGCUUUUGCCAACCGUGGAAUUUAGUAACUAAAGGCACCUAACCCUUUUAUCUCAUCCUCAUUUUUCAACAAAUGGUGCUUCCUGGCUAAUAUCAGCGUGUCCCAUAGAUUUCUGCUUCCAUUGAAUAGACCUAAUAAGAAAGAGAAUGAAGUCAAAGCCAACAGGGCAGAAAGAAAUUGAAAACCUGAAGAACCCAGCACUCAAACUGUCUCCACUUGCGUUUGCUUUUUCUUUACCUCUUCUCCUUCUGGUUUUCAACAGCCAAAGCAGGAUUUAAAUUUGGUUAUGUUGCAAAAAUCAUUUCCCUCUUCAGGCCCUGUCAUGUGACUUGAUUUUUUCGUCCAUUUUAGAGAAGCUGUACCCACCCUGGUUUCAGGACACGGAACUAAAUUUAUUAGAAAAGAAGCCACUUCAAGUCAUGAAGGAGAAACACAAAGAUUCUUGGAUUUAGUUCUAAGAACUAGAGGGGAUUUCUAUGUCAGUACUGUCUCAGAAAAAACUGUUGAUAUCAAAUGUGUUGCUUGAGAAGUACCUUUUUUUUUUUGAGACGGAGUCUCGCUCUGUCCGCCCAGGCUAGAGUGCAGUGGCGCGAUCUCGGCUCACUGCAAGCUCCGCCUCCCGGGUUCACGCCGUUCUCCUGCCUCAGCCUCCCGAGUAGCUGGGAUUACAGGUGCCCACCACCACGCCCGGCUAAUUUUUGUAUUUUUAGUAGAGACAGGGUUUCACCGUGUUAGCCAGGAUGGUCUCGAUCUCCUGACCUCGUGAUCCACCCGCCUCGGCCUCCCAAAGUGCUGGGAUAACAGGCGUGAGCCAUCGCGCCCGGCCGAGAGGUACCUUUUAUGACAACUGAAAUCAUUCAGUUUCAAGAGGAGUUGGGUACUGAAACCAAACUUGCUUACUCCAAAGCCCAAAAUCCUUUCCACCAUGCCUGUGUGUCUGUAAGGCUACACUAGAAAUGCUUCCUUUCUUAUAGUGGGAAGCAUGGGUACUAAGCUCUUUUACGAACAAGUGUUCUGCAUAUUCCUGGUUCCUUUUUAUUUUGGACUGAGGAGAUUUAGGUCAAAAUUUCUGGGUUCUGGGUUGGAAUUCCAGCUUCUUUCUUCAAAUUAAACUGGGGGGUAGCAAGACUUAUUCCUAGAUUUGUUAGAAGGCCACAGCUUUUCCACAUCUCAUUUUAGUCAUGAAAAAGACACAUGCCCAGAGUUUGAAAAACAUAAAGGCAAUUUGACUAGUGGCUUGAUUGGUUCUAUCUUCUUUUUCUUGUCCCUCUUUCCUAUUUAUACUUCUACUUUUGUUACAGCAUUUGACAAUAGUUGGAAAAAUUUUCACUGACCUUGAAAUGUCUUUGGGAUAGGGUGACUUAAAAUAUAGGUUAAGUGGCAUACACAAACUUCUUAGUGAGAUCCUAAGGGCCUACAGAGACAGGCUGACACCAACUCAACCCUUGAAACUGUGCAAUGAAGAGCCUGUGGGAGGCUAAAAAACGCUACUUCAAAAAGAGAUCCUUGUCUGUGAAUGUUAAUUUAGGUUUACAGAUUUGAUUAAGGGUCUUGAGAUUAUUUUCAAUUAUCCAGGUGGGCCCUAGAGCCCUAGAUGCAAUCAUAAGUGUCCUUAUAACAGGGAGGCAGAGGAAAAUUAAACACGCACACAGGAGAGAGAGAGAGAGAAAAAAAAGUGAUGUGAAGACAGCAGCAGAGAUUGGAGCGAUGUGGCCAUAGCCAAGCUAUGUCAGCAGCCAUCAGAAGUUGGAAGAGGCAAGGAAGGAUUUGAGCCUAGAGCCUUUGGAAGGAGCAUGGCCCUGUUGGUUCUGGCCUCCAGAACUGCAAGAAAAUACAUUUUUGUUGUUUUAAACCACCCAGUUCAUGGUAAUUUGUAACACCAGCUACAAGAAAUUAACACAAGGCUGAUGUGACUUUCCAUCAGGAGAGAGACAGCCCCAGGUGAGACCUGCCUGCCUCAUUGUCUGACAGCUUUCCCAGCCUCCUCCAGGCUCCCCUCCGUUUUCUCUUAUACGCAUUCCCCCAAUAAACUUCCUGUACAUUUAAUACCAUCUCAGUGUCUGCUCCCAGGAGGACCCUAACUGACACACUGGGGCAUUUAGCCUCCAAUUCCUUUUCUCCCUUGGCUGAGAUCUGUUCCAGGAAGUAUCUCCAGGACACUCCAGCCUGUUGCACAGGCCAAAGAAAAGCCCUCAGGCAGAGGAGCAAAUACUUGCAAGAGGACACCAGUGGCAAGAACAGGGACAUGCCACCCUGUGAAGACGUGCCUUUCGUCAAGAUUGUAAGUUUCCUGAGGCCUUCCCACCCAUGCGGAACUGAAAAAAUCUUCCUGUGACUUCCUACAACUUUUGGGAUAAGGACCAAAGUAUUUCAAAUGACCUACAAGAUCCUCUAUCAUCUGGACUAUGGACUUACUUGCUCACUCCAGCUGUCCUAUGCUUUCUUCAGCGCCUCCAGUGUAGCCUGCUCUCUUUCACCUCAGGGCUAACUUCUAUUUUUUCUCCAGGUCGAAUGAUCUAAAUAUCACUUCCUCAGGGUGGAAGGAAAUCUUCUGGGACUAGCUAGUCAAGGUCUCUGUGCCCCUUGUCAUAUGUUCCACAUUACCUUGAAUGUCCCCUUUCAUAACUCAUCACACCUGAGAUUACCUAUUUGUUGUCAACUGUGCUGGACUGUGAACUCCACAAAGAUUCCACUUCUAGCUUACUCAGUGCUAUAUCCCCGAACCUCAGAAGAGUAUCUGCUACAGCAGUACUCCUUAUCUGUGGUUUCAGUCAGCUGUGGCACAGUACAAUAACAUAUUUUGAGAGAGAAACUACAUUCAUAUAACCUUUACCACAGUAUAUUAUUAAUAACUGUUCUAUUAUUAGUUAUUGUUAAUCUCUUACUGUGCCUAAUUUAUAAGUUAAACUUUAUCAUAGGUAUGUAUGUAGAGGAAAAAACAGUAUAUAUAGGGUUCGGUACUAUCUGUGGUUUCAGGUAGCCACUGGGCAUCUUAGAACAUAUACCCCAUGGAUACAGGGAGGACUACUGUAGUCUACUUGCUGAAAAAAUUAAUUGUGGCUUAGUCAGGCAUUUCGUUGAGUACGAUGGACCUUACUUUGGAACUCAGAAAUCACUUUCUCCUGUGAAAAUAUCAAACUUGAAUGAACUUUUGGAAUAAAAUACUUUGUAAAAUGGAGAUUUUGGGUAUAGAUAUAAAUAGAUCUAAGCCUAUGGAGUUAAUAAAAAACAAAACACUCUAAAAAAUGUAAUAUAUGAAGUCAAACGAAAUCUGAGUCUUUU
RNAcentral lists this long non-coding RNA (3888 nucleotides) under Homo sapiens (human). RNAcentral describes it as "PREDICTED lncRNA (TCONS_00172675)". The record is from RNAcentral. Lineage: Eukaryota; Metazoa; Chordata; Mammalia; Primates; Hominidae.